UUUAGAUAACGAAGUAUUAUGAUUUAUGACUUCUACAGAUUAAAGUUUCUCAUUAUAUUUAUGAUUUGUUCUUGUAGCUGACAGAUGCCAGGAGCUAUACAAAUCACUUCAGGAAAGAAAAAUGAUUACUAAAGCAGACGAGUGGUAGUGGUGGAAAAAGAAAAAGAGAAUGACCACUGUAUCAAUCAAUGACAUUUCUUGACCAAUUUUUAAUUGAUAAAUAUACCUGGUCUAAUUUGAGUUCCCAAAGCAUGAAUUCAUCAUGCUCCACGGAUUUCGAGGAGUUAGAUAUGCAAGCUUCAGUGGAUUUUGAAGAUUUCAUACAAGAAGAAACAGCUUCUGAGUCUAGCUCUUUGCUUAAAAAUUCUUCUGGAAAAAAAAUAUGAUGAACAAAGCCAUUGCUUUUGUCCUUGAAACACAGGAGCACAACAACAACGAUCACUUAAUGCUGUUUAUAUCCAAAAUGGUGAAGUCUUUUCCUCCAGAAAAGCAAAGGAAGGCUUGUAGAGGUCUUGCGAAUUUUAUUUUUGAUUUGAUGGAUGACGAAUAAAUCCUAAAUACAUCCUUUAUUAUUGUGUUAUUAGCCAAGUGUAUCAAUAAGUUUAAUUUGUCUAACAAGAAAUUAAACAUUUCAUUUAAGACUUGUACACUACUCACAUUUCUUGGGCAAAACUAAUUCCUUAAAUUUCUAAUGAACUGUAAUCUUAAAUUCAGUUAAUAGAAAGUUUAUUUAAGAAAAAAUAAGAUUAUUUAUGUAUAUUCACAUUAUAUUAAUUAUAUAAAUCUUAUCAGGUCUUAUAUACAUGCACUUGAGUUCACUUUUGUAAUUUAGACAAUUAGUGUGACGUGAAAUGUACAUAUUAUUAAGGGUGACUGCUGCCUUCUUAUCUGCACAGAUUAAUUAUAUCAUAUAGCUAUACUUUUUUGAUUUCACCAGUUAUUUUCUUCCUCAUAUAUGUCAUUCUAAAGUAAAUUUUUAGUAUACACUCUUUGAUGUUGAAAAAUAUUUUAAUUUUUACACAUAUACAGACAAAUU
Molecule: long non-coding RNA, 1036 nt
Organism: Stegodyphus dumicola
Lineage: Eukaryota; Metazoa; Arthropoda; Arachnida; Araneae; Eresidae
Source: RefSeq, a predicted model, not a curated record